AUGGCAGCAAAGCAAAGGUCAAGGCCAUAGGGGCUUGUAACAGUUAAUUAUUGUGAGUAUGGCAUAGACAAUAGUGGAGACUGUAAUCGUAGACGAUCUACUCUGGGGGGCAUGUGAGUAUGGCAGCUAGUCAAAGGUCAAGGUCAUAUGGGCUGGUUACAGUUAAUUAUUGUGAGUAUGACAUAGACGAUAGUGAGGACUGUAACCAGAUGGUCUGCUAUGGGGAGCAUGUGAGUAUGGCAGCAAGUCAAAGGUUAAGAUCAUAGGGGCUUGUAACAGUUAAUUAUUGUGAGUAUGGCAUAGACAAUAGUGGAGACUGUAAUCGUAGACGAUCUACUCUGGGGGGCAUGUGAGUAUGGCAGCAAGUCAUAGGUUAAGAUCAUAGGGGCUUGUAACAGUUAAUUAUUGUGAGUAUGGCAUAGACAAUAGUGGAGACUGUAAUCGUAGACGAUCUACUCUGGGGGGCAUGUGAGUAUGGCAGCUAGUCAAAGGUUAAGAUCAUAGGGGCUUGUAACAGUUAAUUAUUGUGAGUAUGGCAUAGACAAUAGUGGAGACUGUAAUCGUAGACGAUCUACUCUGGGGGGCAUGUGAGUAUGGCAGCUAGUCAAAGGUUAAGAUCAUAGGGGCUUGUAACAGUUAAUUAUUGUGAGUAUGGCAUAGACAAUAGUGGAGACUGUAAUCGUAGACGAUCUACUCUGGGGGGCAUGUGAGUAUGGCAGCAAGUCAUAGGUUAAGAUCAUAGGGGCUUGUAACAGUUAAUUAUUGUGAGUAUGGCAUAGACAAUAGUGGAGACUGUAAUCGUAGACGAUCUACUCUGGGGGGCAUGUGAGUAUGGCAGCUAGUCAAAGGUUAAGAUCAUAGGGGCUUGUAACAGUUAAUUAUUGUGAGUAUGGCAUAGACAAUAGUGGAGACUGUAAUCGUAGACGAUCUACUCUGGGGGGCAUGUGAGUAUGGCAGCAAGUCAAAGGUUAAGAUCAUAGGGGCUUGUAACAGUUAAUUAUUGUGAGUAUGGCAUAGACAAUAGUGGAGACUGUAAUCGUAGACGAUCUACUCUGGGGGGCAUGUGAGUAUGGCAGCAAGUCAAAGGUUAAGAUCAUAGGGGCUUGUAACAGUUAAUUAUUGUGAGUAUGACAUAGACGAUAGUGGGGACUGUAACCAUGCACAGUCUGCUAUUGGCAGCAUGUGAGUAUGGCAAAGAGAAUCUCUGUUGAUUUCUGUUCUCAGAUCAUGUUAUAAUUUCAUGUGUUGUCAAAUAAAAAAAUAUUUUCAUAAGCUACAAGUGAAAAUAUUUAUGUGCGAGUAGGAGUUUUAUUGUUACCGGGUAAAUAUGAAUUUCUUUGAUUCUUAUUGACUUUUGUGGUCAACAAGUCAAAGGAGUGUGUAACAGGUAACUCUUUUCCGCACAAUAUCUUGGGAAUGCUUUGACCUUCGAUCCUGUAAAUUGGUAUUGUGGUUUCUUGGAUGGAAAGAAAGACUCCUAUUAGUUUUGAAGUCAUCUGGUCCAAAGGUCAAGGUCACAGAGGCUUGUAUCAUGAAAUGAUUUCUUGUCAAUAUUUGGAGAGAGCGUCUUUAACUAAUUAUCAUCUAGAUUUGUAUGCUGGCAGCAAACAAGAUGGCUAAUUAAUUUAUGCUAAUUAUACCACCGCAAACGAAGUUUAGGGGGGUAUAUAGGAGUGAGCUCAUCUGUCUGUCGGUCUGUCUUUCGGUCCGUAUUAAGUGUCCGCUCUCUAAUUCGAGUUGUUUUCAUCCGAUUUUCACCAAACUUGUUUAUUUUGAGAUCAAAGGGUCUUAAAUAAAGGUUACAUGGGCUUGUGAAAUUUAAUUGUUUCAGUAAUAUUUAGACAAUUCUAAGGAACAUUUAAACUAGUAUGACUCCUAGUAUUUUUCAAAUAAAGAGAUUAAAGGUCGAUCAUAUUCACAAGGACGUUCUUACUGCAAGUUUGGGGCAUACACACAUCUGUUGUUUUCUAGGAUCACAAAUGAGAUUAUAAAAUGUUCUUCACUUGAAAUUAACACAUUUUUCUUUUUCAAUAUGUUUUCCGAGUCGAAGUCUAAUUAUAAGAUUGGUGUAUGUGGGUGGGUGGAGUCAAAAAUAUUGUUUCCUGUAAAUAACGUCAGUUUGUAUUAAUCAUGAUGAAACAAAUGAUAUACAGUGUAGCAAGCUUUCAUAAGGUACAUGCAAAUGGGAAUUAUUCUUUUGUGGAUUAUUGAAUCAAUGUCAAGGUCGCUGUUACUAAAAGAGAAAAAUGGUUUCUGUUAAAUUACUUCGCUUAAGUUGGAGGGAGGUAUUGUGUACAGAAUUAUGCUGUAAGUGUGUGUGUAGGUUGCAUACAUGGUAAUUGUUAAGAUUAUUAUAAGAUUAUGUUUCGGACCUGUAGGGUCAAGUUCUCUUUAAAUAGAAGAGCAGCAAACAAGUGGGUUGAGGUAAAUCACCUAAGUUUGUAGCAUCCUGUGCUUUUUAUGAAACUUUGGAUAAAGAAAAAUUGCAUGGAGACAUAGCUUCGGAUUGCAUUUUGAGUUAGUUGGGUCAAGGUGAAGGUCACCAUUACUAAAAAUUUAAAAAUGAUUUUGCUCCAUAACAUUAUGUUUGAUUGAGGUAUUUUACUUAAAGUUUGUGAUGGUUAGUUUCAGUGCAGCUUGGCAUUUCAUUAGGGGGCAGUUCGGGUCAAGGGCAAGUUUCUGUGUCUUUAUAUAGGAGUAUGGACUCUAAAUACUUGUAUUUUGGAUGGAGCUAGAUCUGGCACUGAAAAUGUGUGUAGCCUAUAGGUAGCUGACAUGCAAACUUAGCUUGGGAUUGAAUAUGGUGCCAGUCUGGUUUAGGAAAAUUUCAAAGUUACUGAAAAAAUAAAAAAAAACAGUUUCAACUCAAUAACUUAAGUUUGGAUGAAGUUAUUGUACUGAAAUUGUAUUGUGUGUGGGUAGCUUACAUGCCAAUUUAGGUAGGAAUUACAUUUUGACAGAAACUUAAAGAUAGAAAAAGGUAAGCAUUAUACGAGCAUGGUAUUGGCGCAAUAUUGUCAAAAUUAAAGUAAAUUAAUCAUGAAAACAUUGAAAACCUGGUCUCAAGCCCUUCCAAUUUUUAUGCCCCCAUUAGGGUGGCAUAUAGCAGUUGAACUGUCUGUCAGUAUGUGAGUCAGCCUGUCCGUCCGUCCCAAAAAACUUUAACAUUGGCCAUAACUUUUUCACUAUUGAAGAUAGCAACUUGAUGUUAGGCAUGCAUGUGUAUGUCAUGGAGCUGAACAUUUUGAGUGGUGAAAGGUGAAGGUGAAUGUCAUCCUUCAAGGUCUAAUGUCAAAUAUAUUGCGUCUGUCCAUCCGAAAACUUUAACAUUGGCCAUAACUUGUUUAAUAUUGAAGAUAGCAACUUGAUAUUUGGCAUGCAUGUGUAUCUAAUGAAGCUGCACAUUUUGAGUGGUGGAAGUUCAAGGUCAAGGUCAUCCUUCAAGGUCAAAGGUCAAAAAAUAAAUUCAAAGCGGCAUUCUCAUGAAGCUGCACAUUUUGAGUGGUGGAAGGUCAAGGUCAUCCUUCAAGGUCAAAGGUCAAAAAAUAAAUACAUUGUUUUUUCAAAGCCGUGUUCUCAUGAAGCUGCACAUUUUCAGUGGUGGAAGUUCAAGGUCAAGGUCAAUUUUUUUAUUUUUUUUUUAAAGCGGCAAUCUCAUGAAGCUGCACAUUUUGAGUGGUGGAAGCUCAAGGUCAAGGUCAUCCUUCAAGGUCAAAGGUAAAAAAAAAAAAAAAAUCAAAGCGGGUUCAUGAAGCUGCACAUUUUGAGUGGUGGAAGUUCAAAGUCAAGGUCAUCCGUUAAGGUCAAAGGUCAUUUUUUUUCCUUUUUUUUUUCAAAGCGGCGCAAUAGGGGGCAAUGUGUUUUUGACGAACACAUCUCUUGUUGUUGUCUAUUAUUAAAUCAGUUGUGUUACCUCUAUCGUUCUAUGCAUCAAGAUGCAUUUUAAAACACUUACGUACA
This is a long non-coding RNA of Dreissena polymorpha, 3960 nucleotides long. RefSeq lists it as uncharacterized. The record is from RefSeq and is a predicted model, not a curated record. The transcript has 3 exons. NCBI's taxonomy places the organism in Eukaryota, Metazoa, Mollusca, Bivalvia, Myida, Dreissenidae.